This is an RNA transcript of Diospyros lotus (date-plum), 646 nucleotides long. RefSeq lists it as uncharacterized. The transcript is spliced from 3 exons. Lineage: Eukaryota; Viridiplantae; Streptophyta; Magnoliopsida; Ericales; Ebenaceae. The record is from RefSeq and is a predicted model, not a curated record.
AUUUCUGUCUCACAAUCCCAACUUCUCUCGUUUCCAUCUACCAUCCGGCUAAUAAACAACAAAGCUGAACUGCUGAAGGAUAUAUUUUUGUUUCAAGAGAUCAAUGACGACCACAGAAGAAACAGAUGCCACUCCGGCCGCCCCCGAUGUCACCCACUUGGCAGCAGCUGCAGUGGCGGAAGCCGCAACCGCCGCAGUUCCUUCUGACGGAGAACUGGACCCAGAGAUCGAUACCGAUUUUGUGGUCGAUCCUGCAUAUGCUACUUCUAAGCAGUUGAAGGAGGAACAAGAUGAGGUGGCGAGGGAAGCGCAUGGCGGCGGAAUUGAAACCCUCAAAUCGGUAGUUAUAAUAUCCGGGGUGGUUGUGGCGGUGAUCGGAGCUCUAUUUGCGGUGGCCAAGAAGUUCAGAGAAGCAUGAAAUAGUAGCCAUAUUUGCGAAAAUGUUGUAAUCCACGAACAGGCCUUUAUACGUGCUGUAAACAUAGAAGCCAGAAGAAUAGCAAACAGGGAAACGUUACUAACCAAGAAAGGGAAAAGGAAAAUGGAGAGGAAAAUACUCACAACUUGAAGAAGAGCCCGUACAAGUUACACACGCACAAGGAAACAAACAAGCAUGCAAAAGACAUUCUAAAAUAUAGAAAAUAAA